Molecule: long non-coding RNA, 1553 nt
Organism: Protopterus annectens (West African lungfish)
Lineage: Eukaryota; Metazoa; Chordata; Ceratodontiformes; Protopteridae
Exons: 2
Source: RefSeq, a predicted model, not a curated record
UCAACGGAAGCACUUACAAAAAUAACACCUUGGAUUCGAACGCAUCCUACGAGUCUAAUUCAACGUACUACACUUCCAAACAAAACUCAGCAACAAAUAAAAGCUUUUUACCUACCGGGACAAACAGCCAACAAGAAAACAGCAAUCCUACAAACGCGUACGUCAUUAUUUCACUCUUCGCUUUUUGUUCCAACUAUUCCGUCAAUUUAUAAAUUAUUAAUAAACCACAACUACUUCAAAACUCAAGUAAUCCCUCCACCAACAACACAGACACUGAAACCUUUUCCAGAGAUGAAUACUUCUGCCCUACUCUUCGAAGUGGCCCCGCCCAUCACCGUUUGUGAUGGGUGAGGCGUUGGUGGGUUUUAUUUAAUUUCGUUAUUUGGUGGUGACAUCGUGUUAGUGUGAGGUUGGCAAACAGUUUGUGUAAUCGUAUUGUUAGCAGACAACGGUAAAAACUAGCCUUUGUACCCAGACUCGGAUUUCCUGAAGGGGUCUCCGAAAUCUGUUUUUUAUCAACCCAUUCAGUUUACUGUUUUAAUGAUAGUUUGAAUCAUAGCUGUCCACCAUCCGUCAUUAGUAUGUGGAACAUUACUUCUCAUAAAGUGGAAUACUUACUAACAAGCUGACUCCUAGAAUGUCGUUGGUGACAGCCACCACUACUGGCAGAGUUUUCAAGACAAAAGGAGAAGUGGAAGAAGGUUGCCAAGUCUUUCACCGUAUCACACAUACAUGCACUCACAUCUACAGGCAAGUUAGAGUCCCUGGUACAUCUUACAAUAUGUCUUUGGAAUGUGGGAAGAAGCGAGAACACCCAGAGAAAACCCACUUGAACAGAGGGAGGACAUGCAAACUCAGCACAGAAGGUGCAAAGAAUCAAACUGGAGGACCUCUUGAUGUGCAGUGGCAGCGCAGUUUGUUGCACCACUGUGAAGGAAUAACAUAGUAGAUUUUAAAUUGAUAUCAUGGUGCAGUCACACCCUCAAUUUAAUUAUUUUGAAAGUUCAUUUUCUAUAAUAAGAUCAUAAAUAUUUUUUUAUCUAAUAUAAAUAGUUGGUAUGGACUCUAUAAACAUUUUAAUUUGAAUUGUCAUGAUUCUGACAAAUUAAAAAUAUCUUACAAUAAGCUAUUAUAUGUUAUAUAACAGGUUUAAUUAAAAUUAUUGUUCAACUAUUGAAGACAAAUUGUAAUACGCCAUUACAAUAUAUAUUUUGAUUAAUCUUUGUUUUAAAUACUGGCUGUAUGUUACAGAUAAUGUUUGAGAUUGUGUCAAAAGCCAAGGGUGAAAAUAGAAGUACUAUAUUUAUAUAUUUUCAAUUAUUUUAGGUUGGAGUAACCUUGAAAAUAAGUAGUAUACCAUCCUAUUUAUGUUAUGUCGAAUUACGAUGAAGAAACUUCAGUAAAGGUAGUUUAUUUCACAAUGUGUUUUAAAUGUAUUGUGCAGUAAAUGAGACAGAUGCAUUUAAUGAUAUGUAAUUACAACUGGGAUAGACUGCAAAGUUUUGAUAUAUAAACAGGACUGAAAUCCAUUAAACGUCUGUCGGUACACAGUA